GGGUUAAGUCCCGCAACGAGCGCAACCCCUACGUUUAGUUGCUAACGCGUGAAGGCGAGCACUCUAGACGAACUGCCGUUGACAAAACGGAGGAAGGUGGGGAUGACGUCAAAUCAUCAUGCCCCUUAUGUUCUGGGCUACACACGUGCUACAAUGGCCGGUACAGACGGACGCAAAGCCGCGAGGCGGAGCAAAUCCGAAAAAGCCGGUCUCAGUUCGGAUUGCAGGCUGCAAUUCGCCUGCAUGAAGUCGGAAUCGCUAGUAAUCGCAGGUCAGCAUACUGCGGUGAAUACGUUCCCGGGCCUU
Molecule: ribosomal RNA, 306 nt
Filed under: uncultured Pelotomaculum sp.
Lineage: Bacteria; Bacillati; Bacillota; Clostridia; Eubacteriales; Desulfotomaculaceae
Description: bacterial SSU rRNA
Rfam family: Bacterial small subunit ribosomal RNA
Source: RNAcentral